RNAcentral lists this non-coding RNA (44 nucleotides) under Trichobilharzia regenti. Lineage: Eukaryota; Metazoa; Platyhelminthes; Trematoda; Strigeidida; Schistosomatidae. The record is from RNAcentral.
AUCUAGUGAAGAGUCCUAAAUAGGACGAAGUGCACAUCCUUGAU